ACCCCGGUGAGAAUGCCCUACAGUCUCCUGGAUGGAGACAAGGAGCUGGUAUCAGGCACAAUUCCUUUAGCCCACGACGCCUUGCUAAGCCACACCCCCAAGGGAAUUCAGCAGUGAUAAAUAUUAAGCCAUGAGUGAAAACUCGACUUAGUUAGUGUUGACAGGGCCGGUAAAUCUCGUGCCAGCCACCGCGGUUAUACGAGAGACCCAGGUUGAUGGUCUUCGGCGUAAAGAGUGGUUAAGAAACACCCAAAAACUAAAGCCAAACGACUUCAAAGCUGUUAUACGCGCAUGAAGACACUGAGGCCCAUCUACGAAAGUGGCUUUAAUUUUCUGAACCCACGAAAGCUAUGAUACAAACUGGGAUUAGAUACCCCACUAUGCCUAGCCCUAAACAUUGAUAAGCCCCCACUUAACUUAUCCGCCCGGGUACUACGAGCAAUAGCUUAAAACCCAAAGGACUUGGCGGUGCUUUAGACCCAACUAGAGGAGCCUGUCCUAGAACCGAUAACCCCCGUUCAACCUCACCUUUCCUUGUCAUAUCCGCCUAUAUACCGCCGUCGUCAGAUUACUCUGUGAGGAACUCGUAGUAUACAGAAUCGGUCACAGCCAAAAACGCCAGGUCGAGGUGUAGCGUAUGGAAAGGGCUAGAGAUGGGCUACAUUCAAUAUCCUAUAAUGAAUACGAAUGGUACAAAUGAAAAAAGUACUUGAAGGAGGAUUUAGUAGUAAGCAGUGAAUAGAGUGCUCUGCUGAAACUGGCACUAAGGCGCGCACACACCGCCCGUCACUCUCCCCGAGCUAACAGAAAUGCAUUCCUAAUAAGCGAACGCCGCUAAGGGGAGGCAAGUCGUAACAUGGUAAGCGUACCGGAAGGUGCGCUUGGAAUAACUU
RNAcentral lists this non-coding RNA (893 nucleotides) under Halichoeres hartzfeldii (Hartzfeld's wrasse). RNAcentral describes it as "partial 12S ribosomal RNA". It matches the Rfam family "Bacterial small subunit ribosomal RNA". The record is from RNAcentral. Lineage: Eukaryota; Metazoa; Chordata; Actinopteri; Labriformes; Labridae.